UGAGACUGUAGAUCGAAUGAGACAGGGAUUUUUGUGAAUGAUCUGGCCAGCGUCAUGGCCGCGGUGCGCCAUUAGCGCCCCCGGUACCCCUCCCACUGGCCCUUGAGCUCAGCCAGCAGCCGCUGCGGACUCCACCCACUCUACUCAAUGGCUCCGGGAGCUGGUGCGGGGACCAAGCCGGUUACCUGGCUUAAACGCGAUCGGAUCGUGCUCCAAGCUGGGGGAUGGGAGGGCUGGUCACAAGGGGGCCGCCCCCUGGCCCCUCCCCUCUCGACGAGUGGCCCCCAGCCCCGGAUUCUGCCCUCCUGCAGUGAUGAAUGGCACCGCUGUCCCGCGCAGACAAACCUCUUCCUGAAACAGAUUCUACUGGAGGUAACCACAGCGACGGAUUUUAGAGAAAGCUCCUGGAGUGGAUGUUCUGGCCUCACCUGGCCCCAGGCCUGAGCUUCUCAGAAAAAAAAUAUUCAUUGGGAAGGGGCGGGAGGUUGCAGGGAUGUCAACUCCCUUACGGUAAUCCCUUAGGGACCCAUCAGAAUAUGAUCUCUGGGAGUUAAGUGGAGAAAGGAAUUCUAGAGUGUGGGGAGGGGAAGCAUAAGCAAGGGCUUCAGGCUCUGAUAGGAGAGCGCAGGGACUUGCUAGCUGUGUGAGCUCAGAUAAAACACCUAACCUCUCUGAGUUGUGGCGUCUGUUAAACAAAAUUGGAAAUAAUCCCAACCUGUUAUGAACACCAAAUUAUAGUGUAUAUAAAGGA
Long non-coding RNA from Camelus dromedarius (Arabian camel), 751 nucleotides. RefSeq lists it as uncharacterized. The record is from RefSeq and is a predicted model, not a curated record. NCBI's taxonomy places the organism in Eukaryota, Metazoa, Chordata, Mammalia, Artiodactyla, Camelidae. The transcript has 2 exons.